Molecule: ribosomal RNA, 1270 nt
Filed under: Prauserella endophytica
Lineage: Bacteria; Bacillati; Actinomycetota; Actinomycetes; Pseudonocardiales; Pseudonocardiaceae
Description: partial 23S ribosomal RNA
Rfam family: Bacterial large subunit ribosomal RNA
Source: RNAcentral
AGCAUCUUUGUGGUCAAGUUGUGUAGGGCACAUGGUGGAUGUCUGGGCACUAGGGGCCGAUGAAGGACGUGGGAGGCUGCGAUAAGCCUCGGGGAGCUGUCAACCGAGCUGUGAUCCGAGGGUGUCCGAAUGGGGUAACCCGGCACCUGUUAUGAGGUGUCACCCGCACCUGAAUGUAUAGGGUGUGUGGAGGGAACGCGGGGAAGUGAAACAUCUCAGUACCCGUAGGAAGAGAAAACAAGUGUGAUUCCGUGAGUAGUGGCGAGCGAAAGCGGAGGAGGCUAAACCGUGCGCAUGUCAAGCUGUCAGGUGUUGUGUGUGCGGGGUUGUGGGACCUGUUUGCCAGGGGCUGACACUCCUGGGGAUGCGUUGUGUGGUUAGCGGAACGCUUUGGGAUGAGCGGCCGGAGUGGGUGAGAGUCCCGUACGUGAAAACUGCAUGGGCGUGUCUGGAAUGGUGUUCCCGAGUAGCAGCGAGCUCGUGGAAUUUGCUGUGAAUCUGCCGGGACCACCCGGUAAGCCUAAAUACUUCCUGGUGACCGAUAGCGGACGAGUACCGUGAGGGAAAGAUGAAAAGUACCCCGGGAGGGGAGUGAAAGAGUACCUGAAACCGUGUGCCUGCAAGCCGUCAGAGCAAUGCUGGUCGUUGUGAUGGCGUGCCUUUUGAAGAAUGAGCCUGCGAGUUCGUGCUGCGUGGCGAGGUUAACCCGUGUGGGGUAGCCGUAGCGAAAGCGAGUCUGAAGAGGGCGUGUGAGUUGCGUGGUCGAGACCCGAAGCGGAGUGAUCUACCCAUGGCCAGGCUGAAGCGCCGGUAAGACGGUGUGGAGGGCCGAACCCACCAGGGUUGAAAACCUGGGGGAUGAGUUGUGGGUAGGGGUGAAAGGCCAAUCAAACUCCGUGAUAGCUGGUUCUCCCCGAAAUGCAUUUAGGUGCAGCGUCGUAUGUUUCACACCUGGGGUAGAGCUACUGGGUGGCCUAGGGGCCUUACCGGGUUACCGAAGUCAACCAAACUCCGAAUACGGGUGUGUGAGAGUGCGGCAGUGAGACGGCGGGGGAUAAGCUUCGUCGUCGAGAGGGAAACAGCCCAGAACGCCAGCUAAGGCCCCUAAGUGUGUGCUCAGUGGGAAAGGAUGUGGAGUCGCUGAGACAACCAGGAGGUUGGCUUAGAAGCAGCCAUCCUUGAAAGAGUGCGUAAUAGCUCACUGGUCAAGUGGUUCUGCGCCGACAAUGUAGCGGGGCUUAAGCACACCGCCGAAGCUGUGUCACUCACA